CUCGUAGGCGGCCAACUAAGUCAAACGUGAAAUCCCUCGGCUUAACCGGGGAACUGCGCUUGAUACUGGAUGGCUUGAGAUUGGGAGAGGGAUGCGGAAUUCCAGGUGUAGCGGUGAAAUGCGUAGAUAUCUGGAGGAACACCGGUGGCGAAGGCGGCAUCCUGGACCAACACUGACGCUGAGGAGCGAAAGCCAGGGAGCAAACG
Molecule: ribosomal RNA, 206 nt
Filed under: uncultured bacterium
Lineage: Bacteria
Description: partial 16S ribosomal RNA
Rfam family: Bacterial small subunit ribosomal RNA
Source: RNAcentral